GAGUCGGUCUUGGGUCUGGCCGUGCCUGAACCUGCAAAGUCCGCGCCGGCUCCCAAGAAGGGCGCCAAGAAAGCCGUCACCAAAGCCCAGAAGAAAGACGGCAAGAAGCGCAAGCGCAGCCGCAAGGAGAGCUACUCCAUCUGCAUGUACAAGGUGCUGAAGCAGGUCCACCCCGACACCGGCAUCUCGUCCAAGGCCAUGGGCAUCAUGAACUCCUUCGCCAACGACAUCUUCGAGCGCAUCGCGGGAGAGGCGUCCCGCCUGGCGCACUACAACAAGCGCUCCACCAUCACGUCCCGCGAGAGCCAGACGGCCCUGCGCCUGCUGCUGCCCGGCGAGCUGGCCCAAGCACGCCUUGUCCCAGGGCACUUGCAAGGCUGUCACCAAGUACACCGGCUCCAAGCGAGUCCCGGCUGCUUGACUCCAAAGUCUCUUUUCUGGGCUGCUUAACCCCUUCAGUGAAAUAAGCUGUUUUCACACUGCUUACUGUAAUUUCUACUUAGGGAGUUUUUCACAGCACCUAUCCCUUUUUCUGCAGCUGAUGGGAGAGGAAUAUAAGAUAAAGCCAGAAUCUGUAGCUUGGUCGAGAACUACCUGGUAAUAACAUGGUAAUGUGCACAUAAUUUGCCUUUUCCAUAGUCGGUUUGCUACCGGGGCGGUCAGUGUAAAUCUGCUCAGGAGAGUGGAAGGAAAAAAUAUAAAUGCAUAUUGAGCUCGUUAAAUUGUGUAGUAACCUGAGAAUAUUCCUAAACUUUUGCGACCACGCCUCACCAUGUAAACUUUCCUUCCGCACCUGUAGACCUCCAUUCUAUGGUUGAAGCAAUUUUCCGUUUACAUAGUUCUUUUGUCUCAAUUUGAUAUUCCUUUCAGGUACUGUGAAUCUAUAGGUAUUUAUUCCUGGGUUUCAAGACGUUAAAUGCUCUCAGAAUAGAGUAAUGGAAAGGCUGCUGUCAUGGAUAGUAAAGCUUUUUAGUCAAGUGUUGAUAUGUAGACAAUUCCCCACUGUUAUCGUUGGGUAUUUUACCAUUUUCUGCGCAAGAAAUGUAAUGAAAAAAUUAGGUCUAAGUUUUAAGGCUUUCAUUUUUGAGACUGGAUACCUUAAACAAUAGUUUCCUAAACAGUUAAAACUUAUUUUACCCUGAAGCUUUUGAGACACACACAAAUAUAUAUAUACCCUGAAGCUUUUGCGACACACACAAAUAUAUACAUAAAUAUAUUUUAUAUUCCUUAAACCCCACAUAUUUCCACUGAUCCAAAUCACUGGGGGCGAGAGACAAGCAAUCUAUGACACACCACCAGGUGAUUCAUAAGUUUGGUAACCACUGACAUUUGGUUAUGCAGUUGCCAUAUUCCUUGGUAAGAACGUGUUCACAAUUUUCAGUCACUAUGCCAGAUAAUUCCCCCUCCCCACACUCCCCUUUUUUCUGAGAAUUGCAGUGCGAUAUACAAAAGUUUCAUUUAAUCCUUUAUUAAAUCAGGACUUUAUAUAUUUUUAUUAGGAUUGAAAAUACAUUUCAAAAAGAUCAAGUGAGAACAGAAGAUAAAAGUACCAAGAUAAUGGCAUAAUACAAACUUACUAGAAAAUACACAUUAAGCAUACUGCAGUGUCCUAGUAGCCCCUUUUCACUUUUUUCUCUUUAUGUACCUACAUAAAAUUCCAAAUAGUAUCUUCCAGGAUGACACACUUGCUGUGUACCCCACCCAAAUAAAAACAGAUUUUUUAGUUAUUAGGUAUUGUGCUAAAUAUACCUUAUUUUAUUGCCAAAAGAAAAAAAAAGCAAGCUUUUCAAAGCUUCAUCCCCAGAAAACAUUUUCUUCCUUUUACACAUACCUUACAUGGCUCUACUGAGAGAUAAAGCCUAAGCCUGCAAAGUUAAUUUAAAGCAUGGAGGUGGGGGUCAGAAAGACAGUAGGGAAAGGUUGAGUUAAUAAGGCAGGUAUGUGACUUCAUUUUAACAGGCACCUGCAUGGCGUCGAGUAAAUAACCAGUUAUAUGUGGGGGAGGGAGUGGUCAACAUUUGGUCCUGGGGACUGAGAAUAAGAGCAGGAAAGCAAUAAACAGCUAACUAUGAGAGUGACUCAAUGUAAUUAUAUUACUUGUCAAUCGCUACUUUUCCUUUCUUACCAAAAUUCACACAGGUAUGAAAGCAAUAUGACAUUCAGGUUCCAUUAUGUGUAUUUGUGCACACGACUUCCCACAAUAAGGGAGAAGAAAAACCACUGCACAUUCGGAUAAAACAUGCUGGGAAUACAGCAGUAAACAGAAUAGAAAAAGUCUACACUUUAAUUAGUGGAUAAGUGAACAAAUAGUGAAAAAUAAGUGAACAAAUAAAUUUAUAUUAUUCAGGGGGCCAUAUGUGCAAUUCUGUUAAGUAAAGCAGAACAUGGAGUGGAAUAGGGAUGACAGGUUUGAUCAGUUAAUACUUGAGCAGAGCUGUAUACAGUAAGAUAGUUAUAGAAUAUCUUAAGGCAGAGUAUUCUCAGAACAACAUGGUAAGUACAAAGGCCCCAAGGCAGGAACAAGCUUGGUGAAUGUGGGUGAAGCACACUGACCAAGGGAAAGUUUUGCACAGAUCAGAGAGGUGCUUGAAGGCCAGAUCAUGUAGGCCAUUAAGGAGCUUCACAGGCCAUUGCAGAGAUUUUGUCUUUUAAAUGAGAUAGAGUACUCUUGGAGAAUUUGACUGGAGAGGCUGGUGGUAGCAAUGGAGAUGUGGAGAUGCAGGUUAGUUGCGGAGGUAUUUUAAAUGAAAUUGAUUUAGUAUAGGCUGACUAAAAGAGAAAUCAAGGAUUAAUUGUAGGUUUUUACACUGAGCACUUGAAAAGAGCUACUAUUUGCUGAUAGGAGGGAGGAGUAGUCUUGGAGGAAGGAAACCAAGAAUACUGUUGAACAAAAUGUUGAAGACCUCCUGGUAAGUAUCGAAGUAUAAAUAUCACAGGAAGUCAGAAAUAUGAGAAUCUGGAGUUUAGGAAGGGGAUUAGGUUUGUAAGAUCUCAUAUCAGUCUGAUUCUUAUUCUUUUGUAGAUAAUCUACCCUUUCUGUAAAUAUUUAGAAAUCAUGUCGUCUGUGUGUAUACACACACACACACACACACACUCUUCCCCCCUGCCCCCAAGACUGCCUCAGCUUUCAUCUCAGUAUUUGACUGAAACCUUCUAUUCAACUUCAGUUUCAGCCUUAGAAUAACGAGAUGUCUAUGUCAAUGUCAUUUGGGGCAUCUCUGGUCUUGUGCAAUCACAAAAGUCACCAUUACCACUACACAGUAUGUAUUAUGACCAAUGGAUAUCAUUCAGAGUUCUAGUUUACAUAUGCUAUUAUCAAACGUAUAUAAUAAAGCUUUUAAUAUAACUUGGGGGUGAAAUUAGUAAAAUAUCAAUUUACAUAAAUUAAUUUUAUUGUAAAAAUAAAAUACAUUAUGAGUUUCUGUA
Macaca mulatta (Rhesus monkey) is the source of this 3426-nucleotide non-coding RNA. Lineage: Eukaryota; Metazoa; Chordata; Mammalia; Primates; Cercopithecidae. The record is from RefSeq and is a predicted model, not a curated record.